CUCCUACCUCAUCUUGUGACUAAGAACACCUUAACCUUCUGGGAAUGCAGCCCGGGCUUUCCACACAUUUUAUUGUGAUGAAACUGGAAGAAGCUUUCCUUAAGUAAAGGAAACAUUAGAAGAAACUCAUCACGGGGCCGGGCGCGGUGGCUCACGCCUGGAAUCCCAGCACUUUGGAAGGCGGAGGCGGGCGGAUCACGAGCAAAGGCCCCAUGGAAUAUCUGCAAUACCCUGAAGACCAUGAUGUUCAGCAGCAACAAGGAAGUGCCACAAGAAAGCAUAACCAUUGAUCAUUGACAAAAUGACUUGGCUCUAUCUGGAUUUAUGUAAGAAAUCCUUUUGUAAGGAUCUUUGCAAAUUUUCCUUGGUAAGACCAAGAUUUCUAGUACUAGCAAGUAUGAAGGAGGCAUGUUUAAGGUUUUUUUUCCCCAUAUGUAUAUGAAAAUGUCAAUUGUUUUUAUCCUUUAGUGCUCAAAGUAGUUUUUACGUAAAAAUAUGAUCCUAGUUAGAAAUUUAAAUUUGGUGAAGGAACAAAAGUGUUCCUGUAUAUUAAGUCAAGACUUCGCGAAUCUUUUCAAUUUAGCUUUGUCAGUCUUUUCCUGUGUGCUCCCCUAAUCUCCAUAGAGGCUUGAGGCUAAAGUUGUGACUAACGAAGUACUUAACAGAAUGAUUAAGCAGUGAAAGUCAUCUGGUUUCCCUAAAGCAGAAUGUAAAUUCAUUCCUAGUGGAAAUCAUGGCUUUCAAUCUCAAAAUACCUUGUGAAUUCAUAAAUCAACAUCUCUGGCACGUCAAUAUUUGAACCAAUUUAGGGAGUAUUUCUCAUGAUGACCAACCUACAACUAAGAAAUAAGUUAUUUUUCUUAAUAACUAAGAAAUAUAGUUAUUUAAUUUUUAAUGUUUA
Molecule: long non-coding RNA, 901 nt
Filed under: Homo sapiens (human)
Lineage: Eukaryota; Metazoa; Chordata; Mammalia; Primates; Hominidae
Description: HSALNT0341811
Source: RNAcentral